Pasteurella bettyae is the source of this 132-nucleotide regulatory RNA element. It matches the Rfam family "Histidine operon leader". From Rfam's summary of the family: At least 6 amino acid operons are known to be regulated by attenuation. In each a leader sequence of 150-200 bp is found upstream of the first gene in the operon. This leader sequence can assume two different secondary structures known as the terminator and the anti-terminator structure. The record is from Rfam. Lineage: Bacteria; Pseudomonadati; Pseudomonadota; Gammaproteobacteria; Pasteurellales; Pasteurellaceae.
CCAUCAUCACCAUCACCCUGAUUAAUCUUUCGGGUAUUUGGUGUAUGCGGAAGAUUCAAAUUCUUCCGAGCUCAAGUACGAUAUAACAAAAUAAAAAAACUCUCGGAAGUCGAAUUCCGAGAGUUUUUUUUU